CCCCGCUCCCUCCUCUCGGCACUCACUGGGCCCUGGCUGGAGUUACCGGAGGGAAAUCGGCUGCUUUAAAAGCCUUUUUCGCUCCUGGUGUCUCCCUCUUCCACCAAAACCGUGUCAGGACGUGUGUGCUCCAAGCAGUCGGUGUAUUUUUAUACCCUUUGAAAUUGCUCCACGCCUGCUCUGAGUAGUUACACCCUCUCUUUGCAUUUAUCAUUGUACCUUAAACAGCAAUGCUGGAACUAGGUUUGAAAUGGUUUUUGUUCUCUGCUGCCAUCCUCUAAUGAACUUCAACAUAUAGAGUCAAUUAGAGUCAUUUCUGUCCAGCCACUUUCAUUGUCCUAUUUUCUUCAGUCCAUGUAGAGUCUCACAGGUGCCCCUGUAGUGCUUUGUUUUCAAAUUGCUCCCUCCAGAGUUUGACUACAAGCUCACCAGAAGGUGACUGUUGGAGAUGUAACAGAAAUCUUUUGGAAUUCUUUUUUUACAGAUAGCUCUCUGUCCGUGACCACUUUCAGAUUUUAAGGAUAACCAUCACAGUGCACAUAAUUCAUAGUAAUCAAGUUAAUAGAAACUCUUUUAAAGUGCAGUAGGUGCUGUCCUGAGAAUUAUGUGUUACAGGUCUGUGUUUGGACACUUGUGACUGUGAGGAGUUGAUUAAAGACACAAAAACUGUAGUGGAUCCUCCUUGCCCUGUUCUGUCAUGUUCUCCUGGCUGCCAUGUGUUCUCAGGGAUCCUUUCAAGCUGCUGACUCUGCAUUUUGUACUUGACUGGAAGAACAAGGCAAAUAUUUCUGGUGUUAAGCCUGUGCAGCUCCUGAGGUAAUUGUUGGGUGGUCAUGGAGGGGCCUGGGCUGUGGCCACACUGUGUCUCUUGGGCUGUUCCUGUUAUUCCAGGGUUUCUGACAGCUGUUGUGUCCCCAGUGCUGGGAGCAGGCAGUAGGAGCAGGGCCCUCAGUGUCCUGUGCCUGCAGUGACAGCUGAUCAUGAGGAGUGUGACUUACAAACAUAUGCUGCAGGAACACUGGAUUUGUGCAAAAAAAACCCCAAAAUUCAGUCUGGAAGACCCUCAGGAUACAGAGCAGCAGCUGCCAUGGGUGGGAGCCUGAGAGCUUGGGCUGU
Molecule: long non-coding RNA, 1116 nt
Filed under: Manacus vitellinus (golden-collared manakin)
Lineage: Eukaryota; Metazoa; Chordata; Aves; Passeriformes; Pipridae
Description: lncRNA (ENSMVIG00005010911.1)
Source: RNAcentral